GAUGAACGCUGGCGGCGUGCUUAACACAUGCAAGUCGAACGGAAAGGCUCCUGCUUGCAGGGGUACUCGAGUGGCGAACGGGUGAGUAACACGUGGGUGAUCUGCCCUGCACUUCGGGAUAAGCCUGGGAAACUGGGUCUAAUACCGGAUAGGACGAUGGUUUGGAUGCCAUUGUGGAAAGUUUUUCGGUGUGGGAUGAGCUCGCGGCCUAUCAGCUUGUUGUUGGGGUAAUGGCCUACCAAGGCGUCGACGGGUAGCCGGCCUGAGAGGGUGUACGGCCACAUUGGGACUGAGAUACGGCCCAGACUCCUACGGGAGGCAGCAGUGGGGAAUAUUGCACAAUGGGCGCAAGCCUGAUGCAGCGACGCCGCGUGGGGGAUGACGGCCUUCGGGUUGUAAACUCCUUUCGCUAGGAACGAAGCGCAAGUGACGGUACCUGGAGAAGAAGCACCGGCUAACUACGUG
This 465-nucleotide ribosomal RNA is filed under the name uncultured bacterium. Its description in RNAcentral is "partial 16S ribosomal RNA". It matches the Rfam family "Bacterial small subunit ribosomal RNA", at positions 28 to 507 of the family's 1533-position model. The record is from RNAcentral.